GGGCAAUGCAGCCUUGCCUUUCUUAGGCUUAGACGGAGGAAUUAAAACAGCAACAGCCCCUUCUUCACCUUCCUGUUCCACGGCGUCUUCAACCUCAGCUUCAGCUGCCAUAGCAGCAACAACAAGAGGUCCAUUCUUCCUUUCUUUGUACUGGAGGCUUAAUGGGUGCAGAGAAAAAGAUUUGUGGGAUGUGAAAAGAAGAGGCUUUGAUUUGAAAAUUAGGGAAUUGGGGUUGAGUUCUUGUGAGAAAAUAGAGGAAAGAGUGAGAGUAGAAGGCGUUGCUGUGGAAGCCAUUGUUGAAUGAGAC
This 307-nucleotide unclassified non-coding RNA is filed under the name Hevea brasiliensis (rubber tree). Lineage: Eukaryota; Viridiplantae; Streptophyta; Magnoliopsida; Malpighiales; Euphorbiaceae. The record is from RNAcentral.